This 253-nucleotide ribosomal RNA is filed under the name uncultured bacterium. Its description in RNAcentral is "partial 16S ribosomal RNA". It matches the Rfam family "Bacterial small subunit ribosomal RNA", at positions 524 to 776 of the family's 1533-position model. The record is from RNAcentral.
UACGAAGGGGGCUAGCGUUGCUCGGAAUCACUGGGCGUAAAGCGCACGUAGGCGGCUUUUUAAGUCAGGGGUGAAAUCCUGGAGCUCAACUCCAGAACUGCCUUUGAUACUGGGAAGCUCGAGUCCGGGAGAGGUGAGUGGAACUCCGAGUGUAGAGGUGAAAUUCGUAGAUAUUCGCAAGAACACCAGUGGCGAAGGCGGCUCACUGGCCCGAUACUGACGCUUAGGCACGAAAGCGUGGGGAGCAAACAGG